UAAUGCCAGAUGAUGAUUACAAGUGCAUAGUUCAGAUGAUCAAACCAUGAUUACUUGAACAAAUAGUCUUUCGCUCCUAUAGCUGAUGACAAUU
This is a non-coding RNA of Hordeum vulgare subsp. vulgare (domesticated barley), 94 nucleotides long. NCBI's taxonomy places the organism in Eukaryota, Viridiplantae, Streptophyta, Magnoliopsida, Poales, Poaceae. The record is from Rfam.